Molecule: ribosomal RNA, 253 nt
Filed under: uncultured bacterium
Lineage: Bacteria
Description: partial 16S ribosomal RNA
Rfam family: Bacterial small subunit ribosomal RNA
Source: RNAcentral
UACGUAGGGUGCAAGCGUUAAUCGGAAUUACUGGGCGUAAAGCGUGCGCAGGCGGUGAUGUAAGACAGAUGUGAAAUCCCCGGGCUCAACCUGGGAACUGCAUUUGUGACUGCAUCGCUGGAGUGCGGCAGAGGGGGAUGGAAUUCCGCGUGUAGCAGUGAAAUGCGUAGAUAUGCGGAGGAACACCGAUGGCGAAGGCAAUCCCCUGGGCCUGACCUGACGCUGAGGAGCGAAAGCGUGGGGAGCGAACAGG